GCUCUGGUGGCCUAGUGGUUAGAGCGUCCGCCUCGGAUGCGUGAGGUCAUGGGUUCGAUCAGUCGAGUUAUACCA
Non-coding RNA from Potamilus streckersoni, 75 nucleotides. Lineage: Eukaryota; Metazoa; Mollusca; Bivalvia; Unionida; Unionidae. The record is from the annotation of a GenBank genome assembly.